GGUACUGUGGUCCUCGUGCCCAGCCUUUUCGCUUCUUAGCACCCCCUAUAUUCUGUUUUCUAUCAGUGAAUUAAAAGCUGUUGCCCAUCAUACGAAGUGCGUUUAUGAAGCAGUAAUUAGCUUUCCCAUGUUUUAUUAAUCACAUCUAUGACUGCCAAUCAGAGCUUCUGAUCAGCAUGAGAUAACUGAUGUGACCAUACUGAGUUGCUAUAAUUCUAGCCCAAAGCAAAGAAACUUGAUGUCUCUGUCAGUCUGCGCAGCCUUAUCAGGGGUAAAUUCCUGUUUGGCCUACUGAAAUGCUGGAAUAGCUAGAAGAUCUUCAUCAUAUCCUUGUGGACCCUCAAGGGCCCUUGGUUUGGGAAGGAUUUCCAUCCAGGAGGCUGGUACAACCAGGGUAUAGGGUCUGUGGGAGGUAAGGGAAAUAUGGGCCGCAUCUGUGCAUUUGUUUACUUUGCUUCUUCAAGGGGGCCUGAGCAUAAGAAUUUCUAAUUUGUAGCUACGGCUUUCAUGCCCUCAAGUUCUCAAGUAUUUGUAUGACUGUAAUUCUUGUAUUAGCUGGAAUAUUUCUUUUCACUUUUUGUUUGUUUGUUUUUCUCCUUUGUAAUUCAUAGCUUGGUGUAAAAAUUGCCAAGGCGGUUGCCUGCCACAACUUUGUAAAAGCCAAAAAGGACGCUGAAAAUUCACAGGUUGCCCGAAAAAAGAAGAAACUUGCAUGGGGGUUUGAAGCAAAGAAGAGAUGGGAAACCAAGAGCAACAUGGGAUAUAUGUAACUUGCCAUAGUUCCUCAAGACACUUGAGUCUUGACUUGGGUUUUUGCUUGAGUCUUCAACUGCUCAAUUUACUGAAAAGAUUUACCUGCUUAUGUUAACUAUGUCAGGAAACUGAUAGAUCGGAAAAAUAAGCAUAAAAUUUGGGAGUUGAUUAUUAAAUCUUUUCAGUCUUUUUCUAAAGA
Non-coding RNA from Leptonychotes weddellii (Weddell seal), 952 nucleotides. The record is from RefSeq and is a predicted model, not a curated record. Lineage: Eukaryota; Metazoa; Chordata; Mammalia; Carnivora; Phocidae.